UUAUAAGACGAGAAGACCCCAUGGAGCUUUAAGCUAGCUACACAUCUAUUUUCUAUAUCCUUUAAUUUAAUAGGACACUGCCUGCUCAGCUUUAGGUUGGGGUGACCACGGAGCAUAACAUAACCUCCAUGAUGUACGAGACUGUUCUCUUAUCUAAGAACUACAAUUCUAAGAAUUAGUAUUCUAACAUGCAAUGAUCCGAUAAUCGAUCAACGGAACAAGUUACCCUGGGGAUAACAGCGCAAUCCAUUUCAAGAGCCCCUAUCGA
Molecule: ribosomal RNA, 268 nt
Filed under: Gephyromantis decaryi
Lineage: Eukaryota; Metazoa; Chordata; Amphibia; Anura; Mantellidae
Description: partial 16S ribosomal RNA
Rfam family: Bacterial large subunit ribosomal RNA
Source: RNAcentral